This 484-nucleotide ribosomal RNA is filed under the name uncultured bacterium. Its description in RNAcentral is "partial 16S ribosomal RNA". It matches the Rfam family "Bacterial small subunit ribosomal RNA", at positions 28 to 507 of the family's 1533-position model. The record is from RNAcentral.
AUUGAACGCUGGCGGCAUGCUUUACACAUGCCAGUCGAACGGCAGCGCGGGCUUCGGCCUGGCGGCGAGUGGCGAACGGGUGGGUAGUACAUCGGAACGUGCCCAGUAGUGGGGGAUAGCUCGGCGAAAGCCGGAGUAAUACCGCAUACGACCUGAGGGUGAAAGCGGGGGAUCUUGGGACCUCGCGCUAUUGGGGCGGCCGAUGGCCGAUUAGCUAGUUGGUGGGGUAAAGGCCUACCAAGGCGACGAUCGGUAGCUGGUCUGAGAGGAGGACCCGCCACACGGGGAGUGAGACACGGCCAAGACUCCUACGGGAGGCAGCAGAGGGGAACUGUGGGCAAUGGGCGAAAGCAUGAUCCAGCAAUGGCGCGUGUGUGAUGGAGGCCUUCGGGUUGUAAAGAACUUUUGGCGGGAACGAAAAGGACUGUGCCAAUACCACGGUUCGAUGACGGUACCCGCAGAAUAAGCACCGGCUAACUACGUG